This 253-nucleotide ribosomal RNA is filed under the name uncultured bacterium. RNAcentral describes it as "partial 16S ribosomal RNA". It matches the Rfam family "Bacterial small subunit ribosomal RNA", at positions 524 to 776 of the family's 1533-position model. The record is from RNAcentral.
UACAGAGGGGGCAAGCGUUAUUCGGAAUUAUUGGGCGUAAAGGGCGCGUAGGCGGCCUUGCAAGUGGCGGGUGAAAUCCCUCGGCUUAACCGAGGAACUGCCUGCCAGACUGCAAGGCUCGAGACCGGGAGAGGUGAGUGGAAUUCCCAGUGUAGCGGUGAAAUGCGUAGAUAUCUGGAGGAACACCGGUGGCGAAGGCGGCAUCCUGGACCGACACUGACACUGAGGAGCGAAAGCCAGGGGAGCAAACGGG